Molecule: ribosomal RNA, 292 nt
Filed under: uncultured bacterium
Lineage: Bacteria
Description: partial 16S ribosomal RNA
Rfam family: Bacterial small subunit ribosomal RNA
Source: RNAcentral
GUGUCAGCCGCCGCGGUAAUACGUAGGGUGCGAGCGUUAAUCGGAAUUACUGGGCGUAAAGCGUGCGCAGGCGGUGCGUUAAGACAGCUGUGAAAGCCCCGGGCUCAACCUGGGAAUGGCGGUUGUUACUGGCGCGCUGGAGUGUGGCAGAGGGAGGUGGAAUUCCACGUGUAGCAGUGAAAUGCGUAGAGAUGUGGAGGAACACCAAUGGCGAAGGCAGCCUCCUGGGCCAACACUGACGCUCAUGCACGAAAGCGUGGGGAGCAAACAGGAUUAGAAACCCCCGUAGUCC